GGCGGACGGGUGAGUAACGCGUAAGGAACUUGCCUCUUGGUCUGGGACAACUGUUGGAAACGACAGCUAAUACCGGAUAUUAUGAGAUUCUCGCAUGGGAAACUUAUGAAAGCUAUAUGCGCCAAGAGAGAGCCUUGCGUUCCAUUAGCUAGUUGGUGGGGUAAUGGCCCACCAAGGCGACGAUGGAUAGCCGGCCUGAGAGGGUGAACGGCCACAAGGGGACUGAGACACGGCCCUUACUCCUACGGGAGGCAGCAGUGGGGAAUAUUGGACAAUGGGCCACAAGCCUGAUCCAGCAAUUCUGUGUGCACGAUGAAGGUCUUCGGAUUGUAAAGUGCUUUCAGUUGGGAAGAAGAAAGUGACGGUACCAACAGAAGAAGCGACGGCUAAAUACGUGCCAGCAGCCGCGGUAAUACGUAUGUCGCAAGCGUUAUCCGGAUUUAUUGGGCGUAAAGCGCGUCUAGGCGGAAAAAUAAGUCUGAUGUUAAAAUGCGGGGCUCAACUCCGUAUUGCGUUGGAAACUGUUUUUCUAGAGUACUGGAGAGGUGGGCGGAACUACAAGUGUAGAGGUGAAAUUCGUAGAUAUUUGUAGGAAUGCCGAUGGAGAAGUCAGCUCACUGGACAGAUACUGACGCUGAAGCGCGAAAGCGUGGGGAGCAAAC
This 662-nucleotide ribosomal RNA is filed under the name uncultured bacterium. RNAcentral's name for it is "bacterial SSU rRNA". It matches the Rfam family "Bacterial small subunit ribosomal RNA", at positions 97 to 773 of the family's 1533-position model. The record is from RNAcentral.